Molecule: transfer RNA, 79 nt
Filed under: Streptomyces roseiscleroticus
Lineage: Bacteria; Bacillati; Actinomycetota; Actinomycetes; Kitasatosporales; Streptomycetaceae
Also listed under: 1 other name
Description: tRNA-Arg
Source: RNAcentral
GCGGCGUCCGGGCGGGGCCGGGGCUCCGGCGGGGUCUGCGAAGCCUCCUGCGUCGGUUCCACGUCCGCCGCGUCGCGCC